UGCUGCUCUCACCCAUCUCUCCCCAGUCCCCUCUGUCUGGAUUGUGCCCGUGUCGGGGGAGCUGCCCCUGCUCUGUUGCUGCCCCAGCUCUGGACAGGAGCUAUCCUGGGGGASAUGCUGCACUCCAGACUCACCUGGGGGCCCCCUUCUCACUGCGGACCAAGGCAGCCCAAGGGCAAAGCCUGAGCUGGAGUUUGAGUCUGGGAACAAAGACCCAGAUGGAGCCCCAGGACACUGCCCAGAGAACCUGGCUCAGCAUCCCUGGAGCUGGCCCCAUCCCAGGGACUUCCCUGGUGCCGGUGACACCUGCAUGGCAGGGGAGGAGCAGAGCAUUGGGAUCACAGCUCUGCAAUGAUGCCAACUCCAUGCCUGGCSUCCUGCCCUCCCAAAUUCCAGGAGGAUUUUUCUGCCGCUGCCGACACAGCUGCUCCAGGACUGUGCCCCUCCACCCUCCUCGCAGUCUGUGCUGGGAAGGCUCUGAUUCCUGCACAGCACCCGACUCCUCCCUGGGCUGGAAGCGCCAGACCACGCUGAUGGGGACCUGCAUGUGUCCUGUAGCAUCCCAGUGCCCUGCCCAAGGAGGACAAGAGAACACAGCUGAGAAGAGAGCAUGGACAGAUCCCAAAUUACUCCCAGGACYAAGUGAGCAGCGCCAGGGAAGGCUCUGGAUGCCCAGGGCUGUGGCAGCACAACCCUGGGUGGGACACACAGAGCAGGGCUGACUCCUGGGCUCAUCCUCCAUCCCACCUCACUCCGGAGGUGCUGGGGACAGAUCCAAGGAGUGGGGGAUGAAGAGGGCACUGGGUGCCAAGAGUGGGGCARAGCUGCUCCUCCCAGGUUUUAUUUACUCCCUUGUCACCUAGCAAGGGCUGCAGGGAAGGACUUUGACGAUAGUAACCCCAGCAGAAAAGAAUGAACAGGAUAAUCUGGAAGCUCAUUUUGUUUUCUAAAUAACCAUGAAACCCUGUUAAAUAAAAACUACU
Molecule: long non-coding RNA, 983 nt
Organism: Malurus melanocephalus (red-backed fairy wren)
Lineage: Eukaryota; Metazoa; Chordata; Aves; Passeriformes; Maluridae
Exons: 3
Source: RefSeq, a predicted model, not a curated record